RNAcentral lists this ribosomal RNA (558 nucleotides) under uncultured bacterium. Its description in RNAcentral is "partial 16S ribosomal RNA". It matches the Rfam family "Bacterial small subunit ribosomal RNA", at positions 355 to 907 of the family's 1533-position model. The record is from RNAcentral.
UGGGGAAUUUUGGACAAUGGGGGAAACCCUGAUCCAGCCAUCCCGCGUGUGCGAUGAAGGCCUUCGGGUUGUAAAGCACUUUUGGCAGGAAAGAAACGUCGCGGGUUAAUACCCCGCGGAACUGACGGUACCUGCAGAAUAAGCACCGGCUAACUACGUGCCAGCAGCCGCGGUAAUACGUAGGGUGCAAGCGUUAAUCGGAAUUACUGGGCGUAAAGCGUGCGCAGGCGGUUCGGAAAGAAAGAUGUGAAAUCCCAGAGCUUAACUUUGGAACUGCAUUUUUAACUACCGGGCUAGAGUGUGUCAGAGGGAGGUGGAAUUCCGCGUGUAGCAGUGAAAUGCGUAGAUAUGCGGAGGAACACCGAUGGCGAAGGCAGCCUCCUGGGAUAACACUGACGCUCAUGCACGAAAGCGUGGGGAGCAAACAGGAUUAGAUACCCUGGUAGUCCACGCCCUAAACGAUGUCAACUAGCUGUUGGGGUCUUCGGACCUUGGUAGCGCAGCUAACGCGUAAGUUGACCGCCUGGGGAGUACGGUCGCAAGAUUAAAACUCAAAUG